UACGGAGGGUGCAAGCGUUACCCGGAAUCACUGGGCGUAAAGGGCGUGUAGGCGGGAUGCUAAGUCUGGCUUUGAAGACCGGAGCUCAACUCCGGGAGUGGGGUGGAGACUGGCAUUCUGGACCUAUGUAGAGAGAACUGGAAUUCCUGGUGUAGCGGUGGAAUGCGUAGAUACCCGGAGGAAUACCCACGGCGAAGGCAGGCUCUUGGACAGAAGGUGACGCUGAGGCGCGAAAGUGUGGGGAGCGAACCGG
Molecule: ribosomal RNA, 253 nt
Filed under: uncultured bacterium
Lineage: Bacteria
Description: partial 16S ribosomal RNA
Rfam family: Bacterial small subunit ribosomal RNA
Source: RNAcentral